This 2787-nucleotide ribosomal RNA is filed under the name Escherichia coli. Its description in RNAcentral is "bacterial LSU rRNA". It matches the Rfam family "Bacterial large subunit ribosomal RNA". The record is from RNAcentral. Lineage: Bacteria; Pseudomonadati; Pseudomonadota; Gammaproteobacteria; Enterobacterales; Enterobacteriaceae.
AGCGUACACGGUGGAUGCCCUGGCAGUCAGAGGCGAUGAAGGACGUGCUAAUCUGCGAUAAGCGUCGGUAAGGUGAUAUGAACCGUUAUAACCGGCGAUUUCCGAAUGGGGAAACCCAGUGUGAUUCGUCACACUAUCAUUAACUGAAUCCAUAGGUUAAUGAGGCGAACCGGGGGAACUGAAACAUCUAAGUACCCCGAGGAAAAGAAAUCAACCGAGAUUCCCCCAGUAGCGGCGAGCGAACGGGGAGCAGCCCAGAGCCUGAAUCAGUGUGUGUGUUAGUGGAAGCGUCUGGAAAGGCGCGCGAUACAGGGUGACAGCCCCGUACACAAAAAUGCACAUGCUGUGAGCUCGAUGAGUAGGGCGGGACACGUGGUAUCCUGUCUGAAUAUGGGGGGACCAUCCUCCAAGGCUAAAUACUCCUGACUGACCGAUAGUGAACCAGUACCGUGAGGGAAAGGCGAAAAGAACCCCGGCGAGGGGAGUGAAAAAGAACCUGAAACCGUGUACGUACAAGCAGUGGGAGCACGCUUAGGCGUGUGACUGCGUACCUUUUGUAUAAUGGGUCAGCGACUUAUAUUCUGUAGCAAGGUUAACCGAAUAGGGGAGCCGAAGGGAAACCGAGUCUUAACUGGGCGUUAAGUUGCAGGGUAUAGACCCGAAACCCGGUGAUCUAGCCAUGGGCAGGUUGAAGGUUGGGUAACACUAACUGGAGGACCGAACCGACUAAUGUUGAAAAAUUAGCGGAUGACUUGUGGCUGGGGGUGAAAGGCCAAUCAAACCGGGAGAUAGCUGGUUCUCCCCGAAAGCUAUUUAGGUAGCGCCUCGUGAAUUCAUCUCCGGGGGUAGAGCACUGUUUCGGCAAGGGGGUCAUCCCGACUUACCAACCCGAUGCAAACUGCGAAUACCGGAGAAUGUUAUCACGGGAGACACACGGCGGGUGCUAACGUCCGUCGUGAAGAGGGAAACAACCCAGACCGCCAGCUAAGGUCCCAAAGUCAUGGUUAAGUGGGAAACGAUGUGGGAAGGCCCAGACAGCCAGGAUGUUGGCUUAGAAGCAGCCAUCAUUUAAAGAAAGCGUAAUAGCUCACUGGUCGAGUCGGCCUGCGCGGAAGAUGUAACGGGGCUAAACCAUGCACCGAAGCUGCGGCAGCGACGCUGAUGCGUUGUUGGGUAGGGGAGCGUUCUGUAAGCCUGCGAAGGUGUGCUGUGAGGCAUGCUGGAGGUAUCAGAAGUGCGAAUGCUGACAUAAGUAACGAUAAAGCGGGUGAAAAGCCCGCUCGCCGGAAGACCAAGGGUUCCUGUCCAACGUUAAUCGGGGCAGGGUGAGUCGACCCCUAAGGCGAGGCCGAAAGGCGUAGUCGAUGGGAAACAGGUUAAUAUUCCUGUACUUGGUGUUACUGCGAAGGGGGGACGGAGAAGGCUAUGUUGGCCGGGCGACGGUUGUCCCGGUUUAAGCGUGUAGGCUGGUUUUCCAGGCAAAUCCGGAAAAUCAAGGCUGAGGCGUGAUGACGAGGCACUACGGUGCUGAAGCAACAAAUGCCCUGCUUCCAGGAAAAGCCUCUAAGCAUCAGGUAACAUCAAAUCGUACCCCAAACCGACACAGGUGGUCAGGUAGAGAAUACCAAGGCGCUUGAGAGAACUCGGGUGAAGGAACUAGGCAAAAUGGUGCCGUAACUUCGGGAGAAGGCACGCUGAUAUGUAGGUGAAGUCCCUCGCGGAUGGAGCUGAAAUCAGUCGAAGAUACCAGCUGGCUGCAACUGUUUAUUAAAAACACAGCACUGUGCAAACACGAAAGUGGACGUAUACGGUGUGACGCCUGCCCGGUGCCGGAAGGUUAAUUGAUGGGGUCAGCGCAAGCGAAGCUCUUGAUCGAAGCCCCGGUAAACGGCGGCCGUAACUAUAACGGUCCUAAGGUAGCGAAAUUCCUUGUCGGGUAAGUUCCGACCUGCACGAAUGGCGUAAUGAUGGCCAGGCUGUCUCCACCCGAGACUCAGUGAAAUUGAACUCGCUGUGAAGAUGCAGUGUACCCGCGGCAAGACGGAAAGACCCCGUGAACCUUUACUAUAGCUUGACACUGAACAUUGAGCCUUGAUGUGUAGGAUAGGUGGGAGGCUUUGAAGUGUGGACGCCAGUCUGCAUGGAGCCGGCCUUGAAAUACCACCCUUUAAUGUUUGAUGUUCUAACGUUGACCCGUAAUCCGGGUUGCGGACAGUGUCUGGUGGGUAGUUUGACUGGGGCGGUCUCCUCCUAAAGAGUAACGGAGGAGCACGAAGGUUGGCUAAUCCUGGUCGGACAUCAGGAGGUUAGUGCAAUGGCAUAAGCCAGCUUGACUGCGAGCGUGACGGCGCGAGCAGGUGCGAAAGCAGGUCAUAGUGAUCCGGUGGUUCUGAAUGGAAGGGCCAUCGCUCAACGGAUAAAAGGUACUCCGGGGAUAACAGGCUGAUACCGCCCAAGAGUUCAUAUCGACGGCGGUGUUUGGCACCUCGAUGUCGGCUCAUCACAUCCUGGGGCUGAAGUAGGUCCCAAGGGUAUGGCUGUUCGCCAUUUAAAGUGGUACGCGAGCUGGGUUUAGAACGUCGUGAGACAGUUCGGUCCCUAUCUGCCGUGGGCGCUGGAGAACUGAGGGGGGCUGCUCCUAGUACGAGAGGACCGGAGUGGACGCAUCACUGGUGUUCGGGUUGUCAUGCCAAUGGCACUGCCCGGUAGCUAAAUGCGGAAGAGAUAAGUGCUGAAAGCAUCUAAGCACGAAACUUGCCCCGAGAUGAGUUCUCCCUGACUCCUUGA